UGGGCGUAAAGCGAGCGCAGGCGGUUUGAUAAGUNUGAAGUUAAAGGCUGUGGCUCAACCAUAGUUCGCUUUGGAAACUGUCAAACUUGAGUGCAGAAGGGGAGAGUGGAAUNCCAUGUGUAGCGGUGAAAUGCGUAGAUAUAUGGAGGAACACCGGUGGCGAAAGCGGCUCUCUGGUCUGUAACUGACGCUGAGGCUCGAAAGCGUGGGGAGCGAACAGGAUUAGAUACCCUGGUAGUNCACGCCGUAAACGAUGAGUGCUAGGUGUUGGGUCCUUUCCGGGAUUCAGUGCCGCAGCUAACGCAUUAAGCACUCCGCCUGGGGAGUACGACCGCAAGGUUGAAACUCAAAGGAAUUGACGGGGGCCCGCACAAGUGGUGGAGCAUGUGGUUUAAUUCGAAGCAACGCGAAGAACCUUACCAGGUCUUGACAUCCCGAUGCUAUUUCUAGAGAUAGGAAGUUACUUCGGUACAUCGGUGACAGGUGGUGCAUGGUUGUCGUCAGCUCGUGUCGUGAGAUGUUGGNNNNNNNNNCGCAACGAGCGCAACCCCUAUUGUUAGUUGCCAUCAUUCAGUUGGGCACUCUAGCGAGACUGCCGGUAAUAAACCGGAGGAAGGUGGGGAUGACGUCAAAUCAUCAUGCCCCUUAUGACCUGGGCUACACACGUGCUACAAUGGUUGGUACAACGAGUUGCGAGUCGGUGACGGCGAGCUAAUCUCUUAAGGCCAAUCUCAGUUCGGAUUGUAGGCUGCAACUCGCCUACAUGAAGUCGGAAUCGCUAGUAAUCGCGGAUCAGCACGCCGCGGUGAAUACGUUCCCGGGCCU
RNAcentral lists this ribosomal RNA (825 nucleotides) under uncultured bacterium. RNAcentral's name for it is "bacterial SSU rRNA". It matches the Rfam family "Bacterial small subunit ribosomal RNA", at positions 555 to 1381 of the family's 1533-position model. The record is from RNAcentral.